UGAGCAGAGCGUGCGGCAGAGAGGCAGAGAAUCAGUGCCAGAGAGAGCAUGAGUUAGCGUCUAUACCUCUCUCUCUCUCUCUCCCCAGAUCUGACUCACUAGAGCGAAAUAUGGUCAAAAGUUCGCUUAAAUUUGAUUAAUCAUCAUCUGCGCGCGCGUCCAUCCAGCAGACAGCACUAAUUCGCACCUGUGCUGUAAAAAUGCAGAGCGCCCUCCCCCACCACACGUCACAUACAGUACAAAUCCGCACCUGUGCUGUGGUGGUAGCAGCAACCGCAUUCAAGUGGAUUUUUUCAAAGAACGAUCACAAGAAAUGUCAGAAAUUUGUGUGUCGACAGAUAAGCGACAUUCAAUUCAAUUAAUGGCGCGCGCAGCACACAAACACAUUCAAGCACAACACACGGACACAUGUACACAUAUUGCAGCAUAAAACGGGCGAGAGGCUGAGAAUAAAACUGUAAUCGUAAUCCCUGCCAAGCAUGAGGAGUAACAGCAGCGGCAGCACAUACAACAACAACAACAACGACGCCAGGCAAGUCUCUUUCGGCAGCAGCGCGCAGCGAAUAA
This is a long non-coding RNA of Drosophila innubila, 567 nucleotides long. RefSeq lists it as uncharacterized. The transcript has 3 exons. Lineage: Eukaryota; Metazoa; Arthropoda; Insecta; Diptera; Drosophilidae. The record is from RefSeq and is a predicted model, not a curated record.